This 715-nucleotide ribosomal RNA is filed under the name uncultured bacterium. RNAcentral's name for it is "bacterial SSU rRNA". It matches the Rfam family "Bacterial small subunit ribosomal RNA", at positions 668 to 1381 of the family's 1533-position model. The record is from RNAcentral.
UCCUAGUGUAGCGGUGAAAUGCGUAGAUAUUAGGAAGAACACCAGUGGCGAAGGCGACUUUCUGGACGAAAACUGACGCUGAGGCGCGAAAGCCAGGGGAGCGAACGGGAUUAGAUACCCCGGUAGUCCUGGCCGUAAACGAUGGGUACUAGGUGUAGGAGGUAUCGACCCCUUCUGUGCCGGAGUUAACGCAAUAAGUACCCCGCCUGGGGAGUACGACCGCAAGGUUGAAACUCAAAGGAAUUGACGGGGGCCCGCACAAGCGGUGGAGUAUGUGGUUUAAUUCGACGCAACGCGAAGAACCUUACCAGGUCUUGACAUUGAUGGACAGAACUAGAGAUAGUUCCUCUUCUUCGGAAGCCAGAAAACAGGUGGUGCACGGUUGUCGUCAGCUCGUGUCGUGAGAUGUUGGGUUNNNNNNCGCAACGAGCGCAACCCCUAUCUUAUGUUGCCAGCACUUUGGGUGGGAACUCAUGAGAGACUGCCGCAGACAAUGCGGAGGAAGGCGGGGAUGACGUCAAAUCAUCAUGCCCCUUAUGACCUGGGCUACACACGUACUACAAUGGGAGUUAAUAGACGGAAGCGAGAUCGCGAGAUGGAGCAAACCCGAGAAACACUCUCUCAGUUCGGAUCGUAGGCUGCAACUCGCCUACGUGAAGUCGGAAUCGCUAGUAAUCGCAGGUCAGCAUACUGCGGUGAAUACGUUCCCGGGCCU